Oryzias melastigma (Indian medaka) is the source of this 709-nucleotide non-coding RNA. NCBI's taxonomy places the organism in Eukaryota, Metazoa, Chordata, Actinopteri, Beloniformes, Adrianichthyidae. The record is from the annotation of a RefSeq genome assembly.
AUGGAACAUUGGCUGUGGAUUCUUCUUGCUGCUCUUUUCUUUGAGUGUAAAGGAGAAGACAAAGUGAUCCAACCAGGAGGAGAAGUCAUUGCUGCUGAAGGAGACUCUGUCACACUCAACUGCACCUUUCAGACCAGUUCUUCAAACCCAUAUUUGUUCUGGUACAAACAAGAAGUGAACAGUUACCCAAAGUACAUGUUAAGACGUGAUACCUAUGGAACAAAAGACAAUGCUCCAGAGUUCCACGAAGACAGAUUUGUUGCUGAAGUCAAAGACAAAUCAGUUCCUCUGAAGAUCCAGAAUCUUCAUGUGUCAGACUCUGCUGUGUACUACUGUGCUCUGCGGCCCACAGUGACAGGAAGCAACAAAACUCUGCACAAAAACCUGCAGAGCUCAACAACACAUUUCUCCAUAAUCUCCACUAGAGGGCACCACACGCACAGAAAGUAAAAUUUUAUCUAACACUCCACUUCCAGAUUCUGGAGAAAUUCAGUUUUAUCUUUUUUCUACUUUUUAAAUCUUUGGUUUGGAAUCUUUGGGGUGGGGGGGGGGGUACUAUUCCUGUUAUGAAACUUGUAUUUAUUUAUUAUUUUUGUUUUAAUACUGAAUAAAGGAGCUUUUUACUAAUUCAAUCCAUCAUUUUUGAUUUUAUCAGUUUUUUCUGUAGAUAUUUUAUAUACUUUUUACAGCAAUGAGUGCUAUUUUUAAA